Molecule: ribosomal RNA, 352 nt
Filed under: uncultured bacterium
Lineage: Bacteria
Description: bacterial SSU rRNA
Rfam family: Bacterial small subunit ribosomal RNA
Source: RNAcentral
AGAGUUUGAUCAUGGCUCAGGAUGAACGCUAGCUACAGGCUUAACACAUGCAAGUCGAGGGGCAGCAUGAUUUGAAGCUUGCUUCAAUUGAUGGCGACCGGCGCACGGGUGAGUAACGCGUAUCCAACCUUCCGUACACUCAGGGAUAGCCUUUCGAAAGAAAGAUUAAUACCUGAUGGUAUGAUGAGAUUGCAUGAUAGCAUCAUUAAAGAUUUAUCGGUGUACGAUGGGGAUGCGUUCCAUUAGGUAGUAGGCGGGGUAAUGGCCCACUAGCCGACGAUGGAUAGGGGUUCUGAGAGGAAGGUCCCCCANAUUGGAACUGAGACACGGUCCAAACUCCGUACGGGAGGCA